GUAGUUAUUCAGUGAGGGACAAUUCGAGAUGGCUACCAUGUGCUUCAAGAAGGCUGGUGAUGCACAUAGAGAAGUGCACAAGAGCUGCCGGACUUCUAGCCACUGCUGACCGUGUCAUCUCAACAAAUUUGGAGCUGAGCAAGGCUUCAUUGCAAACAACAUCAGAGAUUGACAGAGUCCAUGAAAGCUGCUAAUUGCUAUAUCAAAUUAGGUGACUACAAAAGAGCAGGUAUGGUCUAUAUGCAAAAAUGUGGUACUUCCAGUUCUAGACUUGAGGAUGCUGAUGAUUAUUUUGCUAUCGCUGAAUGCUGGUCGGAGGCAGCGGAAGUGUUCUUCAAAGCUAAAUGUUACACCAAGUGUUUCUCCAUGUGCUCGAAAGGAAAACAAUUAUGCAAUCUGGAGGAGGAACAUUCGCUUCAGAAUUCAAAAUCCUUGAGGUUUCUGCAAUUAGAACAAACUAUCUGGAUAAUUAUGCUCAAGAUUAUUUUGAGCGUGUCGUCAUAAAGCAUAGGAUGGCUUUUGUUAAAGCUUUCAGCUCUAUGGAUCAUGUACGGAAAUUCCUAAAUUCUACGAAUCUUGUUGAUGACUGUCGAGUUUAGAGAUGGAAAUGUGUAAUUUCCUAGAAGCUGCAGGAAUAGCAAAGCAUAAAGGAGCUGUCUUACUGGAGGUAGACAUGCUCGAGAAGGCAGAUUUGUUUGAGGAUGCAACAGGGCGUCUCCAUAUCAUUGUGGAUUCUCUGUGGUCUUCAAAUGGUAGAGGUUGGCCUCCCAAAAGAUAUGCAGAAAAGUGACAGUUGCUUGCAAAAGCCAAAGAGAUGGCGAAAAAGGUCUCUGAGUUUCUACUGUUUUGUUUUGCGUGGAAGCUGAUGCACUGUCAGAUGUGAAUAAGUCUCUACUCAGUUCAAAUCGCACAUUGGUUGAGGGCAGAAAUGUCCAAACUAUUGGUUGAACUUGUUGCUUCUGGUUUGAUUCUUGAUGUUCAUCUUCAGUCUCGAGCCUCUGGAUACAAUAUAGAAUUAGGGCCAGGAUCUGAAUAUGAAAACAGUAGUAAAGAUAUGCUGGCCUCUAACCAGAUGUCACCCCAAACUCUGUUUUAUGUUUGGAAUCACUGGAAGUCGAUCAUAAUCAAAGUACUGUCUCAUCUUCGCCACACCGAUGGUCCAGAAUUAAAUGAUUAUGCAGUUAUGUAUGAAGAUCUUUGCGCCAAGUACUUUGGAUUGAGAAAAGAUGGUGAAGUUGACAGAUAUGUGGUGCUUAACAUCAAUGCAAGUUGGCUUUCUAUUGCUGGCAGAAAUUCUUUGCAGCAAGACGGCAACAGAUGUUUAUUGGGUGUCCCUCAGUGUCAUUCAUGUGCUCAGUGUUUCUGGAUGAAUGAGCUGUCUUCUGUUGGUUUCAGUGUACUUAAGAAGUUGGAGUCCGCUGUCGAAAUUUCUCUGAAGCCUGCAUCUUCAUAUACACUGGUGAGAACUAUCCUUAUCAUAAAUGAGAUAGCAAAGUUCUUCGAAAACCCACAGUUCAGUAUUCCAAAAAGUUCUAAGAAGUUCAGAAGCUUUUUUAUUCUCUGUGAGUGUCGCUUCUUUGAGUUAGUUUUCCUUGUGUGGAGAGACGGGACAAUGGGGAGCCUCUUGUGUCUACUUGACUCACCAGCUGCAUAUGAAUUGAUUGCUGAUUCUCUUAGUGCAAAUCUUUGCCCGGUAAAUAAAAAUUUAACUCAUGGGCAUCUUGGGAGAACAACCAUGCUUGUGCUUCAUGCAGCACACUUGGGCGAAGCACAACUUUCAUGACUACUACAGUACCUGGACAAUAGUUCUGAGUAGGCAGAUUUUUUCCGAUAUUUGCAGUGAUUUCUUGACAGUGGUUGUGAUAGAUCCUCGUUUAUCUUCAACUUUAAGCUUGCUCGUGAUUUUACCCUCAAUGUAAAGUGGAAGGAUGAGCUAGACUACAUAUCCCCAACAUGCUAUGUGGGUCUUCUGGAGUGCCUUGGUUUCAUGGCUUUUCGUACUUGAUACAGAAUGAUUUUAUAUGCUGCACGAAAUCUCUGUUGGUCAAUAUACUGGAGUGCCGUACCAGCAAGGUUUACAUUUACACCUACCUGGUAUGUAAAUCGAGACCAGAUUCUGAUCUUAAUCGUUUGGCACACCCAUCAGGCCGUUUCAUAUAUCAGAUGAUUAUGACUAUCUUGCCGACCAAGCAUAUGCUCCAGGAAUGGACACACAAGACUCCAGGUCCUAGCACUUGAUACAGACCAGUCCUCCUGAGACCAGUUGUUGCACUUUAUCCUCUGAUCCUUACUCUUUCCCUGGGGAAUUGCUAUGAGGUCACACAUAACCUUCGGAGGAAUGAAGUCUUUAAGGAUCUACCUUUGGAGUUCUCUCAGAAGAUUGAACAUGCUUUGAAAAUGAGGUUUUGGCUUCUUGCACAUCAAGCAACUUCACAAGAGUGCUUGCUGAUGCACUCGCCGCAAUCGGAGAUCCUAUGGUUGUUAUUGGCCCAACCAAAGGCCCAGUACUCUGUCCGAACUUAAAUGCUUAUAUGAUUAGCAAGGUGGAUUCGUUGUACAGUGUUCUGAAGAUAAUGGCUCUUCUGCGCCCUGAAGAACCAAGUUCUCUAAAGGAAGAGACUCCAUUGCCAGAAAAAUCUGAUAGUUCCCCUAAUGUUAUUUGUGGGAAAAUUCCUUAUGCUGUACAAGAUAGCAAGACAGUGAGUACGAUAGAGAUAGAUUUAACUAAUGAUAGUGCUAUCUGGAAGAAGUUUGAGACUUUUGUACUCAAGAAGCAGGGCCAGAAAGAUGCAUGGGUUGUUAUUCAAUUUCUUAGAGACGCCCUUGCAUGGAAACAGGCCUUCUAGCUGCAAUUGAUGCAGCGACUAAUACACAAACGGUUGAAGAGAUCAGGCACAUCUGCAGUGAGUUCAAAAAACUUUCUGCCAGGUAAGUAAAUGUUAAUUUGGGGCCAACUAUGUUUCUCAAUGGCAGGCAGUACAGAACUACAGAUGCCGUAUUGCAAUUGAUAGGGCUGAGAAAAAAAGCUCGUCUUGCUGUGAAGGAUCUAUACUCAAAGUGGCAAUGUGGUGAGAAGAAACUGCAGCUGGUCCUGCGCUUUCUGGCUGCUGCAAGGUUAUGCAUGGAUGAAAUUUUUUCGAGAGAAAUGUUAAUGAUCGAGAGCAAAAAUGCUGCAGCAGCUGUCCAGCCGCACACCAACGCCAAAGGAUGUUCAGAUGACUAACCUGACCGCACGGGAGAAGCUGCCUCGGCUUUGGCAAAGGCGGCACGGAAGCAGAAGAGCAGCAAGAAGAAAUCCAAGGGCUGUGGCAACAGUUGAGCUGCUGUUGCUGCAGUGCGUGAGCGGUGUAGUUUCUCACCUGCAAAACAUUUGCCUGCAUUGGAGAAACUUGUAGGAGUAUAUCCCAUCACUUGAUCACUGUAAACCCAAACAGAUAGCAGGCGCUAAUUUUUGCUUCGAUGCACUGAUGCAUAUGUCGUUGCCCUGCUGCUACUAGCCGAGCCUGGGCUUUAUGCAAUGGCACGCCCUUUUAGUCGCCUGAAGGAGAGGGAGAUCAGACCAUGGAUUGGUUCUGAGUUUAGUGGCCGUUGUCUGAGUGUUUGUGAAGGAAUGUAAUAAUGAAAAGAUGAGACUAUGUGGCUAGCUAGAGUCGUAAAUGUUUUUCACAUUUCUCUUUUGAACGACGACAAGAAAUGUGUUGCUUUGCAUCUGAUCAAUGAACUCAGGAUUUUCUUUUUCUUUUUGCGAACAAUGAACUCAGGAUUUGAUGGCUGGAAGGUUGGUGGUGUCUCAGCUUUGGUUGCUUCAUUUGAACCUCAGUCGACAUGAAUCACACUUCAGAAAUCAUAUGGCAUCCAGGAUGCACCUUCUGCAAGUGAGGCUGAAUCGGUGGACACAGAACAAAUAAACCACAUUGGACAACCGAAGAGGUGUUUGAACGAAUUGAUGAUCUGGAAGAAUUUGGAGCUAGACGUUGGUCUGAGAUAAUAAAGAAAUAUUUUUCAGCGUCAGUUUGAACUGCGGUCAAUCUUAAGGUUUAUGUUUGGUGCAUUUGUCUCAUGUUGAUGUUACCUUGUCUCGCCGACAUCAAAUUAUUUGCCCUAGGUCCGCUACUAGUACAAUCUAGCGGUGCCUGGAAACAUGAUGUGUGGCUACCUCAUGUUCGCUGAAUAUGUGAGAGUUGUCUCCUAUUUUACUGUACAGAUUGUUCAACAACUGGUGAUA
Molecule: non-coding RNA, 4225 nt
Organism: Triticum urartu
Lineage: Eukaryota; Viridiplantae; Streptophyta; Magnoliopsida; Poales; Poaceae
Source: RefSeq, a predicted model, not a curated record